Molecule: RNA transcript, 2490 nt
Organism: Rhinopithecus roxellana (golden snub-nosed monkey)
Lineage: Eukaryota; Metazoa; Chordata; Mammalia; Primates; Cercopithecidae
Exons: 3
Source: RefSeq, a predicted model, not a curated record
AUGCCGCUGUGUGAACGGACUCAAUUGCCGGAACUCACACAAUAUCAGUAUCAGCACCGAAACCUCACAGGAAAAAUGAACAGCUCCUCCCAGGGUCUUCAGCUCCACGGCCCUCAAACUAUAAAGACAACAGCUCCUCCCUGCAUCCCCAGCUCCACAACCGUCAAAUUAGAACACCAGUUCCUGUCCAGGUCUCCAGCUCCACGGCUCUCAAAUGAAAACAACAUCAGCUCCUCCCUAGUUCUCCAGCUGCACGAUCCUCAAAUUGGAACAUGAGCUUCCUGCCGUAUCUCCAGCUGCAUGGCCUUUAAACGGGAACAUCAGCUUCCAGGCCCUCAAACUGGAACAUCAGCUCCCACCGGGUCUCCAGCUGCAUUGCCCUCAAACUGGAACAUCAGCGCCACCCUGAAUCUCCAGUUGCACGGCCCUCAAACUGCAACAUCAACUCCCCCACGGUUCUCCAGCAGCACAGCCCUCAAACUGGAACAUCAGCUCCCCACUGGGUCUCCAGUUGCACGGCCCUCAAACUGGAACAUAAGCACCCUGUAGGGUCUCCAGCUGCAUGGCUCUCAAACUGGAACAUUGGCUCCCCACCCGGUCUCCAGCUGCACGGCCCUUAAACUGGAACAUCAGCUCCCCUCCUGAUCUCCAGCUGCACGGUUCUCAAACUAGAACAUCAUCUCUCUUGCCAUGUGUCCAGCUGCACGGCCCACAAACUGGAACAUCAGCUCCCCGCCGGGUGUCCGGCUGCACGGCCCUCAAACUGGAACAUCAGCUCCCCACUGGGUCUAUAGCAGCACUGCCCUCAAACUGGAGCAUUAGCUUACCCGUGUGUCCAGCUCCCAGGCCCUCCAAUUGGAACAUAAGCUCCCUGAUGAGUCUCCAGAUGCACGGCCCUCAAACUGGAACAUCAGCUCCCCGCUGGGUCUCCAGCUGCACGGUCCUCAAACUGGAACAUCGGCUCAGCCCUGGGCUCCAGCUGCACAGCCCUCAAACUGGAACAGGAGCUGCCCCACCGAGUUCAAACUGUUCCAGUUUGAGGUCUGUGCAGCUGGAGACCCGGCGGGCAGCUGACAUUCCAGUUUGAGCGCCAUGCAGCUGGAGACUCGGGGGUAGCUGAUGUUGCAGUUUGAGGGCCGUGCAGCUGGACACAUGGCAAGAAAGCUGAUGUUCUAGUUUGAGAACUGUGCAGCUGCAGACCAGGUGGGGAGCCAGUGUUCCAGUUUGAGAGCCGUGUAGCUGGAGACCCUACAGGCAGCUGAUGUUCCAGUUUGAGGGCCGUGCAACUGGAGACCAGGAGGGGAGCUGAUGUUCCAGUUUGAUGUUCCCCCCCGGGUCUCCAGGUGCACGGCCCUCAUACUGGAACAUCAGUUCCCUGCCCAGGCUCCAGCUACACGGCCCUGAAACUAAAACAUCAGUUCUCCCCCGUGUCUCCAGCUGCACCGCCCUCAAACUGGAACAUCUGCUCCCCAUCAGGUCUCGAGCUGCACGGCCCUGCAACUGGAAUAUCAGCUCCCCGCCGGGUCUCCAGCUGCACGGCCCUCAAAUUGGAACAUCAGCUCAGCCCUGGCUCCAGCUGCAUGGCCCUCAAACUGGAACAUCGGCUCCCCGUGGAUCUACAGCAGCACGGCCUCAAACUGGAACAUCAGCUCCCUGCCAGGUAUCCUGCUUCAUGGCCCUAAAAAUGGAACAUUAGCUCCCCGUAGGGUCUCCAGCUGCAUGGCCCUUAAAACUGGAACAUCGGCUCCCCCGCGGGUCUCCAGAUGCACAGCCCUCAAACUGGAACAUCGGCUCCCCCUCAGGUCUCCAGCUGCACGGCCCUCAAACUGCAACAUCGGCUCCCCCUCAGGUCUCCAGCUGCACGGCCCUCAAACUGGAACAUCGGCUCCCCCCGGAUCUACAGCGGCACAGCCCUCAAACUGGAACAUCAGCUCCCCCCGGAUCUACAGCGGCACAGCCCUCAAACUGGAACAUCAGCUUCCCGCCGGGUCUCCAGCUGCACGGCCCUCAAACUGGGACAUGAGCUCCUCCCCAGUUGCAGAACACUAAUACUAGAAAAAUGCCAGCUCCUCCUGGGUUCUACAGCUGCGCGACCCUCCAACUAAAGAAACACCAGCCCCUCUCUGGGUCUGCAGCUGCAUGAACCUCAAACUAGAUCACCUCUGCCCCUGGAUCUCCAGCUCCACGACCCUCACAGAGGAACAGCCACACCGGCUCCUUCACUGUCUUCCGCUCCACAACCUAAGACAUCAGUGGCAGCACCAGCUCCUCCGUGGACCUCCAGCUCAACGACUCUCAGACUUAAAAGGCAGCGUCGGCUCCUCCCCAAGGCUCCAGCUCCACCACCCUCAGAUUUGAACAGCGGUAGCACCAGCUCCUGUCCGGGUCUUCAGCCCCACAACCCUCCCUGAACAAUCCCUUCUCACGAAAUUCAGCAGUCAAGAAAACUGCAGCCGAAGUAAAUGAAUAAAUGUUUUGUUUUCAAAUCGA